GUCCCAACAGAGACCCACGGGAGGAAGGAGGGCCUCUCAGCAGAGACCAGAGAUAAAACCCAGGCUAAGCCAACCCUCCUGCUCCCAGACCCCUCAUUUUAGCAUCGCAUGCCUCCCAGAGAACGGAUGCAGCCUUGAGGUGGAGGACCCUGACUGGAGCAAGGGAGCAGGUUCACGGCGGGUCUUGGACAGGACAAGCAUUACUAUUCACCAGCAGCCCCGGGAACUCUCCCUGAGGCCUCCACUCCAGUCACUUCAUAACCUGGCAAGAAUAGUGUCACUUUCUGGGGUUUUCAGCACUGAUGACACUCGUUUCUUCAUGAAAAAGCCUGGGUCACCUGAGGACGCUUCUUGCAUGGAUCCAGCUGGCCUGCACCUUCCUGUCACCAAUUCCCUGUGUUCCCUCCAGGGGGGCUGACCAUCG
RNAcentral lists this long non-coding RNA (424 nucleotides) under Capra hircus (goat). Its description in RNAcentral is "lncRNA (ENSCHIG00000007628.1)". Lineage: Eukaryota; Metazoa; Chordata; Mammalia; Artiodactyla; Bovidae. The record is from RNAcentral.